GGGCCCGCACAAGCGGUGGAGCAUGUGGUUUAAUUCGAUGAUACGCGAGGAACCUUACCAGGGCUUAAAUGUAAGUUGCAUUAGUUAGAGAUAGCUAUUUCUUCGGACCACUUACAAGGUGCUGCAUGGUUGUCGUCAGCUCGUGCCGUGAGGUGUCAGGUUAAGUCCUAUAACGAGCGCAACCCCUGUCGUUAGUUACCAGCAAGUAAUGUUGGGUACUCUAGCGAGACUGCCGGUGCAAACCGUGAGGAAGGUGGGGAUGACGUCAAAUCAUCACGGCCCUUACGUCCUGGGCUACACACGUGCUACAAUGGCCGGUACAGAGAGCAGCCACUACGCGAGUAGGAGCGAAUCUCAUAAAACGUCUCGUAGUCCGGAUUGGAGUCUGCAACUCGACUCCAUGAAGUCGGAAUC
Molecule: ribosomal RNA, 414 nt
Filed under: uncultured bacterium
Lineage: Bacteria
Description: bacterial SSU rRNA
Rfam family: Bacterial small subunit ribosomal RNA
Source: RNAcentral